UACGUAGGGUGCAAGCGUUGUCCGGAAUUAUUGGGCGUAAAGAGCUCGUAGGCGGUUUGUCGCGUCUGCUGUGAAAACCCGAGGCUCAACCUCGGGCCUGCAGUGGGUACGGGCAAACUAGAGUGCGGCAGGGGAGACUGGAAUUCCUGGUGUAGCGGUGAAAUGCGCAGAUAUCAGGAGGAACACCGGUGGCGAAGGCGGUUCUCUGGGCCUGUACUGACGCUGAGGAACGAAAGCGUGGGGAGCGAACAGG
Molecule: ribosomal RNA, 253 nt
Filed under: uncultured bacterium
Lineage: Bacteria
Description: partial 16S ribosomal RNA
Rfam family: Bacterial small subunit ribosomal RNA
Source: RNAcentral